This 1252-nucleotide long non-coding RNA is filed under the name Monodelphis domestica (gray short-tailed opossum). RNAcentral's name for it is "lncRNA (ENSMODG00000043139.1)". The record is from RNAcentral. Lineage: Eukaryota; Metazoa; Chordata; Mammalia; Didelphimorphia; Didelphidae.
AGGUUAAUACUAAAAAAAAUGGGAAAAGAAACAAAAUGGGAUAAGUUUAUACAUCACAAAGAAGCUCAUGGCAGGAGGAGGGAGAACAUCAAUACACUGGAAGGGUAAAGAGGUUGGAGAUAGGAAAUACUCAACUCUUUAUGUGCAUUGAAAUUGACUCAAAGAGGGAAGAACAAUCCAAUCCAUUGGGGCAGAGAACUGAUUUGCUCCCUAUAGGGAAGUAGAAGGGUAACAAACUGACUGGUGGGGAGGGAAGCAGUACAAGGGAUGGAGAGGGUGGUGGUAGUAUAAAAAGACUCUAAAGAAAAUAAGAGGGGAAUAAGAAGGGAGGGGGUAGAAAGGAAAAUAAAAUAAGGGUGGGAAUUAGGUGGAUUGAUUAAAAACAAAACAUUGUUGUAGAAGGAAAUCGUGAAAGAAGAAAAGGCAAGACUAGGAGUAGAAAUCAAAAUGCUGGGAAAUACACAGCUGGUAAUCAUAACUCUGAAUGUGAAUGAAAUGAAUUGACCCACAAAAUGCAAUUGAACCACCAAAAAACUUUUUUUUAAUGAAUUAGAAAAAAACCAUAACAAAGUUCAUUUGGAAGAACAAAAGAUCAAGGAUAUCCAGGGAAAUCAUGGAAAAAAAUGAGAAGGAAGGAAGCUUUGCAGUCUCAGAUCUCAAACUAUACUAUAAAGCAGUGGUCAUCAAAACAAUUUGGUACCGGCUAAGAGACAGAAAGGAGGAUCAGUGGAACAGACUUGGGGUGGGAAUAUCCAAUGUGGAAAGCAAGAAGAUGCUGCUGCCCUGCCUUCACCCUGGCUGGAACAAGAGAGGAGAAAAAGAAAGGGGGACGUUGAUGCCAGUGGUCCAUGGAACCUGAUCUUAUCUAUGUAUCAUUAGCAUUUCAGACUGAAAAAGAUAAGGAAGCUGAAAGCUCACCUAAACCACAGCUGCACUGGCCAAUAUUAGAAACACCCGAAGGACUGCAACAUUGCAGAUGGGGUAUAUGAGUAUUGUACCUACCUCAAAUGAACUUUGACCAGAUGAUGCUGGGAAAGUGACUGGGAAAUCUUGUCCCCUGAAGAAGAAGCAGAGGUUUUGUGAAUUCAUCAAUAUCAGUAAUUCUUGGGCUGAUUCAUCUCAGGCGUCAUUCUGCCACUUGGUUGGUACUAGGAGAGAAAUACCAAAUAGGCUAUAAAUGAGAAUUAAACAUUAUCUAGAGAAUUCCAAAGAACCUGAUAAUAAAAUGUGAAAGUUUGAAUGCUGAGAGGCA